UUGCUUUGGUAGCAAACAUACUAAAACUGUACUGAUGGAGAUUAGCAUGACCCCUGAGCAAGGAUGGCACACAAAUCUGUGAAAUGUUCCCUAUUUUU
This is a small nuclear RNA of Erinaceus europaeus (western European hedgehog), 98 nucleotides long. Lineage: Eukaryota; Metazoa; Chordata; Mammalia; Eulipotyphla; Erinaceidae. The record is from Ensembl.